CUUCGGCCCUAGUGGCGCACGGGUGAGUAACGCGUGGGAACCUGCCCUGUGGUACGGGAUAACUCCGGGAAACUGGAGUUGAUACCGUAUGUGUCCUUUGGGACAAAGAUUUAUCGCCAUGGGAUGGGCCCGCGUAGGAUUAGCUUGUUGGUGGGGUAACGGCCUACCAAGGCAACGAUCCUUAGCUGGUCUGAGAGGAUGAUCAGCCACACUGGGACUGAGACACGGCCCAGACUCCUACGGGAGGCAGCAGUGGGGAAUAUUGGACAAUGGGCGCAAGCCUGAUCCAGCAAUGCCGCGUGAGUGAUGAAGGCCUUCGGGUUGUAAAGCUCUUUCGCACGCGACGAUGAUGACGGUAGCGUGAGAAGAAGCCCCGGCUAACUUCGUGCCAGCAGCCGCGGUAAUACGAAGGGGGCUAGCGUUGUUCGGAAUUACUGGGCGUAAAGGGCGCGUAGGCGGUACUUCAAGUCAGGCGUGAAGGCCCCGGGCUCAACCUGGGAACCGCGCUUGAGACUGGAGAACUAGAGUUCGGGAGAGGAUGGUGGAAUUCCCAGUGUAGAGGUGAAAUUCGUAGAUAUUGGGAAGAACACCGAUGGCGAAGGCAGCCAUCUGGACC
This 616-nucleotide ribosomal RNA is filed under the name uncultured Alphaproteobacteria bacterium. RNAcentral's name for it is "bacterial SSU rRNA". It matches the Rfam family "Bacterial small subunit ribosomal RNA", at positions 84 to 735 of the family's 1533-position model. The record is from RNAcentral. Lineage: Bacteria; Pseudomonadati; Pseudomonadota; Alphaproteobacteria.